GGGCCCGAAUUGGCUUCGACGGAAGGCCUAAGUAGGAUUAGCUGCGAGCCGAGCAGGUUACGUAUAUCUCGUUAAACUAACGUAACAAACACUAAGAGCAAAUAACUUAGUUAGCAAAGUAAAGACCGCUUUCGCGGGACUUUCAUUUGCGCCAGCUCUUGCCUAAGGGCUAAGAGCCGCCUGCCUGUUUUUAGCCCAAGAGAGCAGAACGGGCGUCAUAAAUUGGGCUCGGCUACGUAAGAUAGCUUUGGUAGCGUAGACUAGUACAAACAAAAGCAAAUUUACGCUCGUCGAUGGCUUUUCUUGCUUCCUUUCGGACAGGGGUUCAACUCCCCUCGGGUCCACCA
Molecule: transfer-messenger RNA, 347 nt
Filed under: Patescibacteria group
Lineage: Bacteria
Also listed under: 1 other name
Description: UBA1384 sp017992655 Standard tmRNA
Rfam family: transfer-messenger RNA
About the family: Bacterial tmRNA, also known as 10Sa RNA or SsrA, is named for its dual tRNA and mRNA-like properties. Its role is to liberate the mRNA from a stalled ribosome.
Source: RNAcentral